This 468-nucleotide ribosomal RNA is filed under the name uncultured bacterium. RNAcentral describes it as "partial 16S ribosomal RNA". It matches the Rfam family "Bacterial small subunit ribosomal RNA", at positions 28 to 507 of the family's 1533-position model. The record is from RNAcentral.
GACGAACGCUGGCGGCGUGCUUAACACAUGCAAGUCGAACGGAAAGGCCCUGCUUUUGUGGGGUGCUCGAGUGGCGAACGGGUGAGUAACACGUGAGUCACCUGCCCUUGACUUUGGGAUAACUUCAGGAAACUGGGGCUAAUACCGGCUAGGAGCUCCUGCUGCAUGGUGGGGGUUGGAAAGUUUCGGCGGUUGGGGAUGGACUCGCGGCUUACCAGCUUGUUGGUGGGGUAGUGGCUUACCAAGGCUUUGACGGGUAGCCGGCCUGAGAGGGUGACCGGCCUCAUUGGGACUGAGAUACGGCGCAGAGUGCUACGGGAGGCAGCAGUGGGGAAUAUUGCACAAUGGGCGGAAGCCUGAUGCAGCAACGCCGCGUGCGGGAUGACGGCCUUCGGGUUGUAAACCGCUUUCGCCUGUGACGAAGCGUGAGUGACGGUAAUGGGUAAAGAAGCACCGGCUAACUACGUG